UGUUGGAACUGGCGGCCUUGAGUGCGCCAAGAGGCGCGUGGCAUUCGUGGUGUAGCCGGUGUACGCAUAGAUAUCACGAGGAACUCGGAUUGUGAAGGCUAGCGCGCUGGGCCCUAACUGACGCUGAUGCUCGAACGCCGCGGGUAUCAAACAGGAUUAGAUACCCUGGUAGUCCGCGCGGUAAACUAUGGACGCUCGCGGUGCGGGUCUUAGACUUACGCCGCCUAGCGAAAGCGUUAAGCGUCCCCCAUGGGGAGUACGCCGGCAACGGUGAAACUCAAAGGAAUUGACGGGGGCCCGCACAAGCGGAGGAACAUGUGGUUUAAUUCGAUGAUACGCGAGGAACCUUACCCGGGCUUGAAAUGUGCAUGACAGGGCGCAGAGACGCGCCCCUCCUUCGGGCAUGCAUGUAGGUGCUGCAUGGUUGUCGUCAGCUCGUGCCGUGAGGUGUCGGCUUAAGUGCCAUAACGAGCGCAACCCUUCCCCCCGGUUGCCAGCAGGUGAUGCUGGGCACUCCGUGGGCACUGCCAUCGCAAGAUGUGAGGAAGGCGGGGAUGACGUCAAAUCAGCACGGCCCUUACGUCCGGGGCCACACACGUGUUACAAUGGGGGGCACAGAAAGCCGGUCGCUGGCGACAGCGAUCCAAUCCUCAAAUCCCCUCCCAGUUCGGACUGGAGUCUGCAACCCGACUCCACGAAGCUGGAUUCGCUAGUAAUCGCGCAUCAGCCAUGGCGCGGUGAAUACGUUCCCGGGCCUUGUACACAC
Molecule: ribosomal RNA, 766 nt
Filed under: uncultured bacterium
Lineage: Bacteria
Description: bacterial SSU rRNA
Rfam family: Bacterial small subunit ribosomal RNA
Source: RNAcentral